Molecule: ribosomal RNA, 234 nt
Filed under: uncultured prokaryote
Description: partial 16S ribosomal RNA
Rfam family: Bacterial small subunit ribosomal RNA
Source: RNAcentral
UACGGAGGGUGCUAGCGUUGUUCGGAAUUACUGGGCGUAAAGAGCUUGUAGGCGGCUUGCUCAGUCUGAUGUGAAAGCCCCCGGCUCAACCGGGGAAGUGCAUUGGAUACUGGCGAGCUUGAGUAUGGGAGAGGAGAGCGGAAUUCCCGGUGUAGAGGUGAAAUUCGUAGAUAUCGGGAGGAACACCAGUGGCGAAGGCGGCUCUCUGGACCAAUACUGCCGCUGAGAAGCGAA